Molecule: long non-coding RNA, 3219 nt
Organism: Sphaeramia orbicularis (orbiculate cardinalfish)
Lineage: Eukaryota; Metazoa; Chordata; Actinopteri; Kurtiformes; Apogonidae
Exons: 2
Source: RefSeq, a predicted model, not a curated record
UAUCCUGAGUACUGUUCAAGUCCAGGGACGAAACAAAAAAGACUAUUGAAGUAGUUCUAAACAUCAAAAUAGAAAGAAGUACAGAACUGUUGGAUACGUGUACUUUAUUCAUAUCUCAUAUGUUUGUUUACAUUUAUACAAAAAUACAGAAUACAGUAGAGUUUUCACCCAGAAUACCAACCGGGCAAUAAUUAUAUUUGCUUUUUUGGCACCCAGACUUAUUUCCUGCCUAGAGCCAUUUGAUCCACUCUCUCUGAACUAUAAUGGAUUGGAUCACUCAGGCCCAAAAGCACUGUUCAUAAUCCCCUCUGACCAUAAUCCAGACCCCUCACAGGAACAGUGUUUAAGGGCAGUCAUUCUCUCCACUAAUGCAUGAACAUACUCAUCUUCUAUGCAUCAGAUUAACUGACUGUUUGUGGCUCUCAAAUAGACAGGAAAAUGGGAGACCAUGUUAUUUUAUUCUUCACAGCUUAGACCUGUUGCAGCUCAUGAUACUCAUAGACUAGGUAUAAAACGCAUUUUAUUUAUUUUUUCAUUUUUUACUUUAACUUGUUUGUGGCUAGACUGUCUCUGUCAGGAUACUGGGCACUGCACAUAAUCUUCAUGUAGAAACCUAAAGGUGAUCGAAGAGAAGUCUCAGGUCUAAACUGCCGUAGAUAGUAUAUUCCAAUAUUGCUCAAAAAUGCACUUUUGAAUGAAAAGACUUGUAGAAAUGCUUACUUUACCGCACCACUAAUUUCAGGUAUUUAUGCUAAAGGUACGAUUUCUGACUACAUGAACACCAAUGUGGUUUACGUUUUCCAACACAGAUUCAGCUUUAAACAGCCAUAGCGAUUAUGGUGCACAAAAUAUGUCAUUAUUGAUUUAGUGUUGUUCAAAAAUGCAUUUUUGACUGAAUAACAUUAUCUUGCAGUUCAACACAACAAACAAUACUUUACCACACCAAGAAUUCCAGCUAUUGAUGCUGAAAGGUACUGUUGCUCUGAACUAUAUGAACACCAAUGUGGUAUACUUUUUUCAAACACAGAUUCAAUUUUGCACAAUAUACUCUCAUCUCCUAUUAGAAAAAAAUCCCAACAUGAAGUCCCAAAUACACAUGAAACAAGCAGAGAUACCUGGUGAACUGUUUCCUAAAGGUUACAAAAGCUAAAGUGUGGACAUAAAUGUCGCAACCACUGCAGUUUAAUCUGCCAGUAAAGGUUCACAUACUGAAGCACUGAAGUUUCAGAGAGCUAUUUUCCAAAUCAUGACUGGGCACAGGUCAAGCCAGCUAAACUGUUUCAACAACAAGAGAGAUCUGGCUGCGUAGGGAUUAGUAUCUGCUGGGUUUUUUUAGGUUUGGUAAGUUUGUUGUCAUUUUGGUAAUGAUUUCUCCACUUUCUGCUACCACACAAAAUCACAGACAGGCUUUACGCAUGGAACCAGUUGCGCUAAUCAAACAAGGCACAAAACCCAGAAUGGACAUGGUACAAUGUAAGACCACAAACAUGAUAGAAAUACUCACACUAGAUAUAGAAAUAAAUGUUUGUGUCCUGCCACUCUCACUGUCAGCUAUUCGCAGCAGGGCGGCCUGAUGGGAAAGGUCACAGCCAGCGUGCCUUGUUCAAGCUCCUAACUCUUCAAUGAUUGUCAAUAAUAACCAUAAAAAUGUUCCUAUUAACACUAUUUGAGCAACCUUUUUAAAUCUACUUUACUUUUUACUUAGGCAAGGCCUUUUGGAAACAAACCUGUUUAGAUACUUCCAUUUCUGAACAGGUUUUUUUUCUUUUCGCUCCAAGUCAGAUAAGAUCUGAUAUAUCUGAAACAAAGAGCACCUCCAGCUCUUAACUUAUCAGAUUUGAGGGUGCAUAACAGAAAGGAGGCUGGGACGAGGGCCUUUGCUUAACAUUUGAUGGGGCCUGAGGUUAGAUACACGAGGAGUGGAAAAAAAACUGGUUAACUAUGUCAUUUCCAUUACCUUUAUGUGGAUCUUCAUACACCGAAGAGAAACAACUAUAAAUCUUACCACAGAAAAAAAGAAAAAACAGAAAACUUUCUGAAAGUUACACCACCACGCUACAGUUCAGUACAUGGAGGAGAUGACAGUGCACUUCCAUUAACAGCGAAUUUUAAGGCAAAAUUAACAUUUAGGUUUGCAUGGCAUUACCCUGUGGCGUGUUUAAUGGACUGUGAAAAUACCUGUGAAUUUCAAAAGCAGUGGUAUCGUCCUUCAGCAUUUUAUCAGCAUUUACUUCUUAAUAAAUCCACUAACUAGCUUUAUCAGGUUGUCCAAAAGGUAUUUUCUUUAUUGAGUAGAUUUUGAUUUGCAAUCACAAGACUAACACUAAACAAAGGCAAGUCAGGAAAAAGUCAGUAAUGACAAACUCAGCCUGAUGAGUGAAGAGCCGAGGCUGAUCGCUUUUUACUUGCGAGUAUAUCUGGUUGAUAAACAGUCAGAUGAUAAUUUAAUUUAAAAAUAACUAUAUAGCAUUUGUUUAUUUAAUGGUAUUAAGUCUUUAUAUUCUCUCUUUUACUAAUUUUUAAAGUAGUUUGUUUCCUUUCAACGUACAGUGACCGUCAGUAAUCUCUCCUAUAACAGUAUCUGCCUUCCUUGCAAGCAUAGAGGUGAGAUAAGUAAAAAAUAAAGGCAAUGAUUAGCUACCAUUUACUCUGGUAGGCCCAUUGGUGUCCUAUGUGUGUCUGAUCAACCCAGUAGCCACAACAAAACACUGCCAUUGUAUGUGCUUGCAAAGUACGGAUAUGUAUAGUCAACAUUUCUGAACCAAAAAUACCUUUCCUAUCAAUAUUUCUAGAGACAUAAGGUCUUUAACCACCCAUGGGCUUGUAGUCUUGUUGGUUUAAUACAAUAAAAAGUCCACAAAGAUGAUGGAAAAUCGGCUCUGAAUUUAUUUAUUAGUAUGUAAACCAAACCACAGCCCUUUCCUAACCCUAACCAAAGUACUUUUAUUGCUUGAACUUAAAAACUCCCUUGAGUCGGGAUGCACCUCUAUUUAGGAUUUCACACUUUGUCCCCCCACUUCCUGCCAGCUGAGGUAAAAGGCAAAAAAAUCGCAGAUACUUCAACAGCCAAGGCUCCAUGUAAGUCAUCUCAAUUUGUAGCGAUGUUGACCCCAGUGAAACUCCCAAGCCAAAAAAAUGUCACGCAACAAUGUACAAUUGCUGCGCAAAGAGCUCCUGGCUUGUUUAAAUGGUUUUGAAGGGAAAUUUCUGGAAAAAAAA